RNAcentral lists this ribosomal RNA (1514 nucleotides) under Escherichia coli. RNAcentral describes it as "partial 23S ribosomal RNA". It matches the Rfam family "Bacterial large subunit ribosomal RNA", at positions 1 to 1560 of the family's 2925-position model. Lineage: Bacteria; Pseudomonadati; Pseudomonadota; Gammaproteobacteria; Enterobacterales; Enterobacteriaceae. The record is from RNAcentral.
GGUUAAGCGACUAAGCGUACACGGUGGAUGCCCUGGCAGUCAGAGGCGAUGAAGGACGUGCUAAUCUGCGAUAAGCGUCGGUGAGGUGAUAUGAACCGUUAUAACCGGCGAUUUCCGAAUGGGGAAACCCAGUGUGUUUCGACACACUAUCAUUAACUGAAUCCAUAGGUUAAUGAGGCGAACCGGGGGAACUGAAACAUCUAAGUACCCCGAGGAAAAGAAAUCAACCGAGAUUCCCCCAGUAGCGGCGAGCGAACGGGGAGGAGCCCAGAGCCUGAAUCAGUGUGUGUGUUAGUGGAAGCGUCUGGAAAGGCGUGCGAUACAGGGUGACAGCCCCGUACACAAAAAUGCACAUACUGUGAGCUCGAUGAGUAGGGCGGGACACGUGGUAUCCUGUCUGAAUAUGGGGGGACCAUCCUCCAAGGCUAAAUACUCCUGACUGACCGAUAGUGAACCAGUACCGUGAGGGAAAGGCGAAAAGAACCCCGGCGAGGGGAGUGAAAAAGAACCUGAAACCGUGUACGUACAAGCAGUGGGAGCCUCUUAAUGGGGUGACUGCGUACCUUUUGUAUAAUGGGUCAGCGACUUAUAUUCUGUAGCAAGGUUAACCGAAUAGGGGAGCCGAAGGGAAACCGAGUCUUAACUGGGCGUUAAGUUGCAGGGUAUAGACCCGAAACCCGGUGAUCUAGCCAUGGGCAGGUUGAAGGUUGGGUAACACUAACUGGAGGACCGAACCGACUAAUGUUGAAAAAUUAGCGGAUGACUUGUGGCUGGGGGUGAAAGGCCAAUCAAACCGGGAGAUAGCUGGUUCUCCCCGAAAGCUAUUUAGGUAGCGCCUCGUGAAUUCAUCUCCGGGGGUAGAGCACUGUUUCGGCAAGGGGGUCAUCCCGACUUACCAACCCGAUGCAAACUGCGAAUACCGGAGAAUGUUAUCACGGGAGACACACGGCGGGUGCUAACGUCCGUCGUGAAGAGGGAAACAACCCAGACCGCCAGCUAAGGUCCCAAAGUCAUGGUUAAGUGGGAAACGAUGUGGGAAGGCCCAGACAGCCAGGAUGUUGGCUUAGAAGCAGCCAUCAUUUAAAGAAAGCGUAAUAGCUCACUGGUCGAGUCGGCCUGCGCGGAAGAUGUAACGGGGCUAAACCAUGCACCGAAGCUGCGGCAGCGACACUAUGUGUUGUUGGGUAGGGGAGCGUUCUGUAAGCCUGUGAAGGUGUACUGUGAGGUAUGCUGGAGGUAUCAGAAGUGCGAAUGCUGACAUAAGUAACGAUAAAGCGGGUGAAAAGCCCGCUCGCCGGAAGACCAAGGGUUCCUGUCCAACGUUAAUCGGGGCAGGGUGAGUCGACCCCUAAGGCGAGGCCGAAAGGCGUAGUCGAUGGGAAACAGGUUAAUAUUCCUGUACUUGGUGUUACUGCGAAGGGGGGACGGAGAAGGCUAUGUUGGCCGGGCGACGGUUGUCCCGGUUUAAGCGUGUAGGCUGGUUUUCCAGGCAAAUCCGGAAAACCAAGGCUGAG